Molecule: ribosomal RNA, 464 nt
Filed under: Selenomonas sp. oral taxon F21
Lineage: Bacteria; Bacillati; Bacillota; Negativicutes; Selenomonadales; Selenomonadaceae
Description: bacterial SSU rRNA
Rfam family: Bacterial small subunit ribosomal RNA
Source: RNAcentral
GACGAACGCUGGCGGCGUGCUUAACACAUGCAAGUCGAACGGAGCGAAUGAAAGCUUGCUUUUAUGAGCUUAGUGGCAAACGGGUGAGUAACACGUAGACAACCUGCCGACAGGAUGGGGACAACAUUCCGAAAGGAAUGCUAAUACCGAAUGAAGUCGAGGGAAGGCAUCUUCCUUCGAUGAAAGAUGGCCUCUGAAUAUGCUAUCACCUGUCGAUGGGUCUGCGUCUGAUUAGCUAGUUGGUGAGGUAACGGCUCACCAAGGCGACGAUCAGUAGCCGGUCUGAGAGGAUGAACGGCCACAUUGGGACUGAGACACGGCCCAGACUCCUACGGGAGGCAGCAGUGGGGAAUCUUCCGCAAUGGGCGCAAGCCUGACGGAGCAACGCCGCGUGAGUGAAGAAGGUCUUCGGAUCGUAAAGCUCUGUUGACGGGGACGAACGUGCGAGAGGUGAAUAAUCUCUU